Molecule: ribosomal RNA, 289 nt
Filed under: uncultured bacterium
Lineage: Bacteria
Description: partial 16S ribosomal RNA
Source: RNAcentral
CUACUAGGGUAUCUAAUCCUGUUUGCUCCCCCAGCUUUCGCGCCUCAGCGUCAGGAAUCGUCCAGAGAGCCGCCUUCGCCGCCGGUGUUCUUCCUGAUAUCUACGCAUUCCACCGCUACACCAGGAAUUCCGCUCUCCUCUCCGAUCCUCAAGACCCGCAGUUUCAGAAGCAGGCUCGGAGUUGAGCCCCGAGUUUUCACUCCCGACUUACAGGUCCGCCUACGCGCCCUUUACGCCCAGUGAUUCCGAACAACGUUUGCACCCUCCGUCUUACCGCGGCUGCUGGCAC